GGUCGGCGUCGCGACGUUACGCAUGCGACUGGAGGCGGGGCUAGGUGCGGCGCCGCGUGGCCUUUUGGGACUUGUAGUCGGAGUGCUGGGUGGGGACCAUUUCUCUCUUCCCCGGAGUGGUCCAGGAACCGUGUCUGGCUCCAUUGCCAGGUGGCAGAGAAUAUCACAGAGCCAGCCCCUCAGGCUCCAUAAAUAGGGGCGUCCCCACAGUGACCUCGCUAAACUGUCAAGGGAGAGGAUGGAAAGGGCGAUGUUCUUAGCUGAGGAACUGGAGUCUAAGGAAGAGAAGGUUAUGUAUGGGUGGAGCAGCAACUGCUCUGCAGUCUAAGGUUAGGCUUAAAGAAACCUGGAUAACAUCCAGCUGUGAUGGGCCCUGGAUUCUGAACACAGCGUCAUUUACCAAGCAAGGGUGAUAUGACUGAAACAGGAGGAUUCAUAUGAAUGAAUCUACUGACAACAGUAUGCUCCUCCCCAAGCCCUGAACCUGCACACCACUGCUCUGUGGGUUCAAGAAUCUGGGUCGGCAGGAGGUAGGGGCUUGGAUGCCUCCCAACUAAGUUUCCUUGCAUCUGACCCAUCACCCCUCCUCCCAUACAGGGAGGACAAAAAGGCCAGAAUCUAGAUGUUUACUUUCUUGGGGAUAGUAACUGGCCUUUGAAAGUUCAGAUCAUAACUUGCCUGUUCAAUUGGGAAGAGGGAACUAAGCCAAAGUGAUCUUUAAAAAUAUAAUAAUGCCGAGUUAGAAAGCUGAGUCCUGAUUGGUGGGACGAUGAUGGGAUGACUUGAUUUUCCCAAAUCAUCUUUGGCAAAUGGAGAGCCCUACAAUAUGCUUAUUCCUUGCACAAUUGCCCAGUGCCAGGUCCCAGAGGCAGCUGAUGGAGCCCAGAAACUACUUAUAUGAUUCUUCUAGAGAGAGAGAGAGAGAGAGAGAGAGAGAGAGAGAGAGAGAAACAGAUACAUAUCCCUGUCCUCCCUCCAUCAGCCCACUCCCACUCUAGUAUAAUAUGUCCAAGAAGUCGUAAAUAGUCCUGCAGAGGGGAGAGGACAGACCCAAAGCUACCGGGGCAAGCUGUUACUGUGGAAAUGCGGAUGUACCAGCAGUGACCAAUACCUGCAUAACCUCAGAGAUAGGAACAAGGACAAAAAGCCCGAGAUUCAGAAACCUGCAGGGACUCGGUGGGGGUGGGGCUGAUCGCACACUGGCUGCACUGUGAGUCAGCAUAUGGGAAGUGCCGUCAUUCAGUCAUCCAAGGGACUCUCUCAUCUGCAACCUGGCUCCAAGUCAAGGAACAGAUAACAGGCUCAGACUUUGGAUUACGAUCAUUUUUUCAAAGAAGACAACAGAAACGAUCUGUUUACAAGGAUUUACAAACAGACCAAACCUGCUUGCUUUUUUUUUUUAAAUAAAAAAUAUACUAAAUGUGUCUGUUUUUUGAAUAUAGUGAGAAUAGGUCUGCUGCACACAGGCUGCUGAAAUUUCUAAGGGCGUCAUCCCAGAGGCCGGCCAGGCUGAGACGGGGCUAACUAACGAAAAAGCAGGGCUUGCCUGAAGAUGCCCUCCUGCCUCGUGGCACAGCACUCGGCUGAUCCAGGGUGGGGAUGGGACCCUGGCCAUCCCGUGGUCUCCUGCCCAUGAAAGCAUCUGCUUUCAGUCGUUGCGAGGAGCUGGGAGAAGCGUUUCUUUCCUGAUGUGGGAUGCUGGUGGCUGCUGUAGUACAUACAGUUUUGUCAUACAUGUGCGAUGCACUGUGUAGUGAUCUUACCCAACAUCUCUUUAAAAUACCAUGUGAAGUGUGGUAAAGAUACUACUUGGUGUCAGGCUCUUUCUCCUCAUUCUGCUCCCUCCCUCAACCCCUGGACAGCACACAAUCUCUCAGUGGGACGGCCAUCAAAUCAGCAUCUCCAGGCUGUGUUUCCAUACACCCCUUCUCUAUGUACUCACUAUAUACAUAGUACAUGCUGUCUUAAAACUUGAGUAAUCGUCCUAUCUUGACCCAUAAUUCCAGCCCUAGGAUUGUGGAUGCCCUACCAUACCUGGUUCAUGUUGGGCCGUUCAUUCAUAAUCAACCCACUUCUGACGCUACUAUCAGGCCUGGAGAACACCCAACACUUGCUUAAUGUGUGUUCCCAGGGAAUGGGAGUAGUGGGAGCGGCAGGGCACAUAAAUGUUUCAUUGAGGGCAUAAAGGUUUGGACCUUCUCUGCCCUACUUUCAGACAGACUACACCAUUUGGGCUUCCAGGCUGCUGGAGGAUCCGGCUCGCAUUUCACCUCUCUGCAGGACGCUUUUGGUGAAGCUAUUUGAGAAUCUCAUCCCCUUUCUGUCUUGGUUCGGUGAGAUGGGUCUCAGGGUGAGGGCUGAACUGGAUCCGGGUCUUAGAAGUUUCCAGACCAGCAGGCUGGAGUUGACGACCAGGGAAGCACGCCACCACCAGGAACAGAACAGCCCGUCCGCGCCCUCUGGUGGUCACAAAUUUUCUUACUUUCAGGGGCCCUUCUUUCUACCCCCACUUUCCCAUCUAUCUGCACGGCACCACCCGGUCACCUAGCAAAUGCCAGCCUGUGGUUCAGCCCAUAUUCCACCACCCACAGGAAAGAUUUAUGAAGACUGUCUUCCUGGGCAGAAAAUGUACGCAAGCCCUAGAUGUACCUGGUACUGCCUAGCUCCUUCCCUCUCCCCUCUAGUAGAACCAACCACAUGGCUUACCAAAAUUGCGUCCCGGCUAAGAGUACUACUUCCUGGGUGCCCAUCCCCCUCUCACCUUAUGCCUUAGACGCGCAGAGACAGGAACAUGGCAAAUCCUAGGAUAGCCUGGGCUACGUAGUAAGAGUGUCUCAGAAACAAUCAAUCAAAACAAAGCAAGGCAAGAGAGAAACUCUGUCACAUUUCUGUAAGCACCAUAACUCUGCUGCUCUUUCCAGCAAAUUCCUUGGGAAUAAGCAUAAUGAGACCUGCCCUGAACACUUCCAGCUCUCCUAUUGUAGUGGUUUGUAUAUGCUUGGCCCGGGGAGAGGCAAUGUUAGGAGGUGUGGCAAUGUUGGAGUAGGCAUGGCCCUAUUGGAGGAGGUGUGUCACCAUGGGGAUGGGCUUUGAGGCACUAUGCUCAAGCUCUGUGUAGAAGAGAACCUCCCGUUUGGCUGCUUGCAGAAGCCAGUCUUGUCUUGGUUGCCUCCAGCACCAAGUCUGCUUGUGCUUCCCACUGUGAUGAUAAUGGACUGUACUCUGAAUCUGUAAGCCAGUCCCCAUUAAAUGCUUUCCUUUAUAAGUGUUGUCUUGGUCAUGGUGACUCUUCACAGCACUGAAAACCCUAAGACACCUACCCAGUCCUUAUGUUCCCAGCGAGUGUCUUGGUUAAUAUCACCAACCCUCCACGCCUGGACAAAGCCGUGACUGGGUUUUGGUGUCCUCUCGCUUGAUACACUGAGAUCCUUGGCACUGCAGUCCUCACAGCCAGGCUGUGCUGACCCUUUCCCUCCCUCCUAAGGAGGCCGUGGUCCAGGGCUUGGUGUUAGUUCUCUUUGGUCUUGAACCAGCAUCUCUGCAGCCUGAUGUGCAGUGCAGCUGUACCUGCUGGCUCCCAACAUCAGAGGGGUAUUAGGGUGUGCUACAGCUGUUGAGUAAGUGUUCUAGAAAGUUCCAGGUUGAUUGGGAGUUUUUUAAUUCUUCUACAUCCUUCCUCUCCUCCUCCUCCUCCUUCACCUUCCUCCUCCUCUGUUUAUUCUUCUUUGUGCUCCAAAUUGAACUCAGGGUAUUGUACAUUCUUAGCAAUGCUCAGGGCUCUAGCCCUGGAUUAUCCCCCACCCUCUUACUAAUUGUCUAAUACACUUGCUCUGUGUUUUUAUUGAAAGAAGUAUUGAAAUCUCUGGUGGUUAAUUGUGGCUUUCUCUCUGCUCCCAAUUUCAUCUGUUAGCUGUGACCUCUGGAAUUAUUUUUCCGUCUGCUGUCAUCAGCCACUUCUGAUUUUCAGCCCCUUCAUCGGUUGUUCAUUUCUUCCUUCUGCCUUAUAUGAGGGGGCUCCAGGAACAUCUGGAGUAUAAAUGGUAGGGCGGUAAUGGGUAACAGGAGGGGCGGAGGGGCUGGGUCUCCAGACUAGACCUUGUCUCUUUGUAUGAACCCGGCAGUGCACGAUUACUGCAGCCUCUCCCCCCCCCCCCCUGAGGUAAGCUGUCUUCUGUCUCAGUAUCUUGCACCUUUGAGUCUGUUGUUGAGAAGGAUAUUCUCUGUUGUAGACUUUGGCUCCCAUCAGCAAAAAGUUCCGUAUCUAAAUUGGGAAGUAGCUCAUUCUUCAAGUCUGACGGUGAGGAGCAAAUCCUUAUAAAAUCUCUCCACAGUCAUGGAGGGGCACUCCCUCCUCUUCAGGCAAAAGAUGUGGCUGGAUGAUAUAGUUGCCAUGUUCUUGGAUGAGGGGGUGGCUGGGCAUUUCCCCUGGAUGGUCAGGAUCAGGUGGUCUUGUAACUGUCUUGGCACCAUGUGAUACAAGAUUUCAUCCUCUGUGUAGGUUAACAGGGGUGCUUCCUUGGUGUUUUUACAGGACUGAGCAGGUCUCACUUAAGGACCGUGCAGACCCAAGACCAGGCCGUUCCAUAAACAGGAGAUUCUGUGUAGCUCACCUGUGUGGUACAUAGGGCGGUGUGGCAAAGACCAGAUUUUUCCUCAAACAGGAGCCUGCCAGGGUUUUAGCUCAGUGGUAGAGCACUUGCCUAGCAAGCGCAAGGCCCUGGUUCGGUCCCCAGCUCUGAAAAAAACAAAACAAAACAAAACAAAACAAAAAAGCAAAAAACAGGAGCCUGCCUCACCUGCCUUACCUCUACCGCACAGUGACUUAAGACAUCUUACCUUAGGGCCAUAGAUAUAACCCUGUGCUUCCUAAUCUCUAUGAGACUUGAGUGUCCAGUCAGAUGAAAUGACCUCAGUGGAAGCACAGGUUGAAGCCCUGUCAGAUCCCACAGCCCGAGGGCUAUGGGGCCAUUACAAGCAUCUAUAUCCACCAUCCAUUUAGAAGCUACACAUCCAAAGUUGAAAUUGCUAGUGUUGGGAUCUGGAGAGAGAGGUGGGCAAUUGGGAGUGCUGCUGCUUUUCCAGAAGACCCAGGCUCAGUUCUCAGCACUCACAUAGCAGGUCACUGCUGUCUAUGGCUCUAAUUCUAGGGAUCUGACACCUUUAUAUAUGUAUACAAAACACUAAUGCACAUAAAAUAAAAAAUAAAUGGUUCUAAAAAAUUCCUAGUCUAUUUCUCUGGAGGCCAACAGAGUGCCUCAGUAUCCUCUUGAGGCUUUCAUCUGGAGACGUCAUGUCCUCAGCAUCCCACUGAGGCUUUGGAGGGGAUGCAGUCUCCUGCAGAGUGGUUAAGCCCACAACCGGUGCUUCUCGCCUGUCCCCAGGGGUCCUUACCUGGUCUGGACAUCCGAACUAGUCUCAUCCUCUUCCAGUCAGAGACGCUGGUCCUGCAUUUCUCAGUCCCCUUGGUCACUGAGAGGAGUCCCUGGAAUCCUGUCAGGGUGUGCACUUCCCAUUUCCAGAGACUUUCAGUGGGCUAAGAGGCCCAGGAACAGCGGUAGCCUCUUUCGACCAACUGGGUCUCAAUCAGUGAUAUCUUGCUGGGCCUCCAAAAAUGUGGGUUUUUUUCCCCCUAGAAUGAGCACUCUAAGACCAGUGACAACGAAAGCUGUCACCGGCGGACUGAAACCAGGAUAGCUUCUGACUGUGAAAAGCUUCCUUCUGGGUCUGGCUUAUAUUCUCAUUUCAUAUUCUAAAACCACAAGGUGGGGCAGGCGGGCAAGAGAGAUUUUGCAGAAGGUUCUGUGACAGUUGGCUGGUUGCUAAGGGCAGCGACCCAUCAUUUCUGUUAUUUCUCCAGGUCUCUUCUGUUUCAGUACAAUUAUACCACUUAAUUCGGUUUCCUGUAAAUGCGUGAGAUAUGAAUACAAGAAUAGCUCCUCCUAUGAGAACUGGGCAAAGGGCCGUCGAUGUGGAGUACUUGCCAGUAUGUAUGACGCCCUCAGUUUUGGCCCCAGCACUGCAUAAUCCUGCAUGUUUCCAAGCCAGCACUGGGAAGGUUGGUACAGGAGGAUGAGAUGUUCAAGGUCAUUCCUAGCUACGUUGCCCAGCCUUGCCUACCUGAGAUCACCCCUGCCUCCCCACAAAAGAACAAAGAGGAAAAAUCUAGAAAACAAAACCAAGCUGACCCUGUUGCUGGACACAUCUCCCACUCCAAGAACAGGGCCAGAAGCCCCUGUGCUGGGACUGACCUGAAAGCCUCCUCCCAGGGUACUGCCCACCACUCAUGGCACCAGAAGGCACCACGCAAGCUUCCAAAGGAGGGUGGCAGCCAACACUUCUACUUAGCUAUGAUGCCUGUGAGCCACAACAAUGACCAGCACGGCACAGCCACCCUAAGUGUGCAGUAGUGGCUCGCGUCCCUUGGCAGUUACUAACGGCUCUCCAAUUUGAUCUAAGAUUCACCGAACAAGAUGGAGAAUAUUCUAGGUAUGGAAACCUGCCUAUUAAGUGCUAUCGAAGCCAUGGUUCUUGGAGAACCUACAACCACUACUUGACUAAGACAACACAGUCCAUAACAAUCCAAACAUGUGUCCUUAUACCUACAUGUAAGUGUGGUCCUUACACCACACACACCCCCCCUCAAGGAACUUUUUUUCCAAGAGAUGGAGAUCAUUACGAUAACAAAACAAAACCCUACAACCAAACAGAAUGCAGAACUGUGGAGCCCAGUGCCAGUGGACACAAUGACAAAACAUCCUGCACCCAAGGCUCAGGGAACACUGUAGAAGAGAGGGUGGGUAGACUGGAAGAGCCAAGGGGACGGGGUUUUCUGUGGGGCUGUGUCUCCUAGGAACGCCAGGAAGUACACCCAUAAAGUCUCACCAACAUGACUGCCUAGACAGGAGGUGAGUAAGGUCACCAAUAGACAGGCCCAGGUGAGUGGCCUUGAUCCUACACAGGUAACUAGGGAAUGGUAGGAGUGGGAGACAUAGUCUUCCCUAGGCGAGAGUUUGUUUUUAUCAAACAACAAACUCUUUAUCCAAAGCCCUGAAAACAUCCAUAUGGCUAACAUACAGGCUGAGCAGGCUAUAUUCAGAAAUGUGUAUAUGUGUACAUAUAUGCAGAGAACAACCACUAGUGAGGUGAGAGGCCAUGGAUCUGAAAGAGAGCAAGAGGGGCCCAUGGGCUGUUUUGGGAGGAUGGUGCAUCUUAUCACAAUCUUAAAAUAGUAAAAUGAAGCCCAACAGCUUGAGGUUGAUCUCCAGGACCCACAAGCUGUCUGCCUGUCUCCACGAGUGUGGUGUGCACACACUUGUGCACGCACAUGUGCACACAUACACAAAUAAAAGAAAAUUUAAAGACUAAGCAGAGUGCUCACGAUGUUACUCCAAGUUAAAAGCAGGAUUUAACUCCAUGCAGAGUGCAAAUGCAGAGGCAGGAUGACCCUGACUUUGUCACUCAUCUAGAGACCACUUCCUGUCCAGUACCACCUAAGAAUACCAUAAGCCACCACACUAUAACAACACCAUAGGCAUAAACCAAUACCAACCUUAUUCCUAAAGGUAGAGCGUUAGCAUUCUUCAGGCUUAUUGAAGCAGACUGAAAAACUGAGCAUUGGGCUGAACAAAAACAGCAGGAAAUCAGGCUUCAAACUAGAAACGCACUAGACCAGUUAAGGCCCCACAAAAGCCAUAGCACCCUGACAUGGACCCUGGAACAAGGGUGUCUGACAUUGUGAUGACCACCCACUGAAGCAGAGACCUCAGAACUUUACCUAGGGUUUCAGGUCAGCCCUUCAGACUGCCGUCAACACACCUAGCCACUCAUCCAGCUACACCCGUCCUACACCUGAAACUACACCUGAGGCCUAAAUCCUUAUUCUUUCAGCUCCGUGUCUUCAACAGUUAUCCACUUGGACCCCUUAAUCCCUAAAUACUGUAUUUGUGCCAGGUGGUGGUGGUACAGUCCCUUAACCCCAACACUUGGGAGGCAAACUCUGUGUGUUUGAGGCCAGCCUGGUCUAGUGUGAGUUCCAGGGCAGUCAGAGCUACACAGAAACCCUACCUUGGAAAAACAAACAAACAAAACCAAGCAAACCAAACCAUCAAAUGUUGCAUUGGUAGCAGCUGUCUGGCUCUGCCUCCAGGAAGGCCUCUGUGAACUCACUGAACUCUAACCUUGUAUAGCCAUUCUGUAAUAAUUACAGUGUGCGGUGUAAUGUGUGAUCCGAGUUAUAAGUGAUUAAAACUGAAAACAGGACUACUCAAUAAAUCAAAUCAAUAAAA
This is a long non-coding RNA of Rattus norvegicus (Norway rat), 8285 nucleotides long. RefSeq lists it as uncharacterized. The record is from RefSeq and is a predicted model, not a curated record. Lineage: Eukaryota; Metazoa; Chordata; Mammalia; Rodentia; Muridae.